GCUUGGCGAACUCCUUGAGGACAUGGGCUUUGUUUUCUGUUCCAUUUUACCCUCCACUGUGCCUUCGCAGGGAUUCCCCAGGAUCAACCAUCUGAGCAGAUACCUUGGAAUGUCCCCAGAUUUCAGAGCCUCGGACCAGCAGCAACACACUCUGAAGUAGGUCUCAGAAGACAAAAAGCUGAAAUCAACUCAUGCUUCCUGCUACACAGAAUCCACUGAGAGGAAAAGGAAACUUCACCGAAACUUCAGAAAGCUACAGAAAUGACAUCCAUUUUCACAAUCCCAGAAGGAAAGAUGCAUCUGAAGGGAAUAAAAACAGAGCAAUGGAAGAGUAUUUGUUAAAAUAAAUGGCUUUGACAGGG
This 362-nucleotide long non-coding RNA is filed under the name Homo sapiens (human). RNAcentral's name for it is "long intergenic non-protein coding RNA 2608". Lineage: Eukaryota; Metazoa; Chordata; Mammalia; Primates; Hominidae. The record is from RNAcentral.